Long non-coding RNA from Drosophila montana, 599 nucleotides. RefSeq lists it as uncharacterized. The record is from RefSeq and is a predicted model, not a curated record. NCBI's taxonomy places the organism in Eukaryota, Metazoa, Arthropoda, Insecta, Diptera, Drosophilidae. The transcript is spliced from 3 exons.
CAUGGAAGACGCACUAAUACUGAGCUUACUCCCAUUUGCACGAUUUCACCUCUACCUGUCUAGCAGGAGUGGUGAAUUGUGCGGCUGGGGGUGAGCAUCUUUAUUCAAUCGAUAUUUUACAAACAUUAUAACUGAAUUUGUUAGCGCCACAGGGCUGGCUCUUACUGGCAAAAACUUAUACUAUGGAUAUGCGUUUAUAUUGACAACAGCGGCAAUUGGAGAAUUUCACACGGAUCGGCAGGCACACAAUCUGGAGUGGGUACAUCUAUAGGCUUCGAGUGGCAGAGGCAAUUUUUGUUGCUCACGAGGUCACAGUCCAUUGGAGGUGACCUGAAAACUGCAACGGCCUUAUUAUGGCAGGCAGCCCACGACAUCCAGUACUUCAGGAUCAGAUGUAUCGGAAAGUGUGCUGCCGGCCGCAAGUGGUGGUAUGACAAGUGAGGAAUGGCUGGCUGCCAAUAGGACAGUGUCGUCUGUUAUCAGGUGAAUUUGAAGUCAUAGGCGUAGCAGCAGCUGCAGGCCUCGGCAAUGCCUGAAUUGAAAUGUGUCCGACAGCUGCGGAUGUGAAACAAGCCGCAGAUGGCGCUGUGGCUGGUAAU